AUUCGCACCUGACUGUGAUAGCCCUCUCGAUACCUUAUUGGAGCUUUGUAACUAGUAGCCGAUUUCCCGUCGCGUCAGCCUUUUCCCAGUGUGCGGAGCCCACUAAGAGGAGUUACAGUUUGAAAAUAGGGAACAGAUUUUGAGAACACAAAAACGAUACAUACGUGUUACGAUCAUGAAUGGACCGAUCAUGACAUGUGACGGUCAUCCCACCUUUCCCUUUACCUGGACCUUCGUUGAGGCUAUAAAUAGACACUCAUGGUUCCUCCAUAAUACUCGUACAACAUCGUCAAAGUUCCUUGAAUUUUAAUACUUUUCUUUCAUCAAUCUUAUCAGAAAAAAAACAUGUCUUGCUGUGGUGGAUCUUGUGGGGGACCGGUGGUACCUACGACUCCGAAGCUGAGGGAAAUGGGAGAAUUCUGUGCUGAGAAUGGCUGCAAAUGUGGAUCUGACUGCAAGUGUGACCCUUGCACUUGUUCUAAAUGAACAAACUAAAGUUUAACAGAGCAGAGAUCAUGGUUAAAUAACUAGUCUUAAAUUGUCGAGUUUAUAGUUUUGUGUCUUUUGAAACAGGGAAAGGCUAUGUGUUUUUUCCCUGUAAUAAGAAAUAGUAAUGUUUAUAAGUAGUAGUAAUGUGGUUUGUGUAAGCGAGCAUCUCUGCAUCUGGUAAUGUUAACAUAUUAGUGUUUGGAA
This is a long non-coding RNA of Lycium barbarum (goji berry), 693 nucleotides long. RefSeq lists it as uncharacterized. Lineage: Eukaryota; Viridiplantae; Streptophyta; Magnoliopsida; Solanales; Solanaceae. The transcript is spliced from 2 exons. The record is from RefSeq and is a predicted model, not a curated record.